CAUCCUUUGUAGAAACUGCAAUGUUUACAUUGCAGGAAUACCCCUAGUGGCUGUCUUCCUAAGUGAAAACUCUGUCCUAGAACCAAAGGGUGCCGACAGUAGCAUUUAAAUGGAGGUGUGUGCAGUAUAAGGCUGUGAAUUCCUAGUUCUAAAACACUGAUUUUCUAUUAGAAGUAUUACAGCAGAGUGCAUGUGGACGUCUUUGAAGGUGGAGUGGAUGGCUGCAGCAGAAGAGACAG
Molecule: non-coding RNA, 239 nt
Organism: Pelobates cultripes (western spadefoot toad)
Lineage: Eukaryota; Metazoa; Chordata; Amphibia; Anura; Pelobatidae
Source: the annotation of a GenBank genome assembly